GGAUCCAGGCCCGGUGCGCGCGGCUCCGGCCCCGAGCGCGCUGUCCAGGCUGGAUCCCCACCAGGCGGCGCUGCGCCCCUCCGAGCCCGCCCGGCCGCGCUCUGCAAACCGAUGCUGUUUAAUUAACGUGCAAAUUGAGUAGAUUAAAUGACUCUAAAUAAUUAGCCACAGAUCCUACAAACAGGAUAACAGAUUUAAUUAAGCAGCGAUAUAGAUUUUGGAAACUGUUAAUGUAUUUUUAGAAUGGCAGCUCAGAUCCUUCACUUUUCCCCCCUAACUUCAAACAUGUAACUACGGCCCUCCGAACGUGGAUAAAUAUCUGGAAACAAGAUUACGCCUGUUAACUUCAACUAAUAGAAAUGUGGGUUUAACAGGAACUUGCACGGCUCCGGCGCCGGCGCCGCUGCAGCCCGCGUGGCCCGGGCCGGGCCGGUUCUGUUUGGCUUUGUUGUUCUUGGUGCGCGCGGUCUGGCGCCUGGGCCCUGGGCAGAGAGGGUCAGAACAUACAGGAGGAAGGGGAAGGGAGAAGAUCUGAACAACGUGAGCCGCCGGCCCAUCUGAGGAUUAAAAGGAGCCAUAACAAAGAGUGUUAACCCUUCGCAGUCUUCCAGCUCCCCAGACUCCAAGGGCGGAGCUGCCCCUGGCCUGGGGGCACCAAUAGGGCACCGGUGACCAGGACUGCAGAUCCCCUGGACCUCUGAGGCAGAGGGAGAGGGGCCUGGGGUGUCGGGGAAAGUGUCCACGGGCUGUCCUCCGGCGAAGGGGGAUGUUGGGAGGAGGGACGCUGACUGCUGCCUGGUGGGCUGGCACAAUGAGGUGGCCGCCCCAGACUUCCACAGAUGGGGCUCUCAGUGCCUGGCCACUGCCUGUCCCGCCAGCCCUCUGCUUGUCACAGCCUGAGCGACUUUUCCUGUGCCCUCCGGCCUCCAGCCCUAGCCCUGGUGCUGGGGCCCAGCCUGGGGGCGAAUGGCUGGCCUGGGCCCAACGGACCUUCACACCUUCUCACACUGUGGGCUGGCACCACCAUAUAGCUGCUCCCUGGAUUCUGGUACCCUCCGAGAGGUGUGGGGAGGAGACCCUGCAGCUGUGGGGACCGUCAGUGGGGUCCUCAGCUGUCUGCUGGUCUAGGUUUCUUCCCUAGUGCAAGAGGACUGGAGGCCUAGGGCCUAGGAGCUUUUAGGCCAACCUCCCCAACAAAGUCAGGCAGGGCCUGGGAAGGGCUAGCGGAGGCUCAGAACAUCCCCCUGAACCACCUUCACGGGCUCCCACUGAGACCCAGGCCGGUGUCCAUGGCCACAGACUUCAGAGGAGCUAGCGCGAAGGCCAGCUCCGCUUAAAACAACAGAGGAAGGCCCCCCGCCGGGCAGCCCCUUCUCCUCCUGGCCACAUUCUGCCACUGGACCCCAGCUGAGUAGCUGGGAGGCUCCGGUCCCUCUGAGCUGGCAAGGCCCCACCGCAAACACAAAGCCGGCCACAUCCCUCAGGCCCCUGCCUGCCUCCCCGCCCUGGGAGACCUGUACCCCCACCUCAGCCUGGGUCCGUGGGACCCGCUUUGGCCUGCACCCCACCUGGAGGCCUGGGGCUACCAUCUUGGUGGCGUGGGUGAAAGAAGCCACCUGGAUCCCGGCCGGGGAACUUGGCCCAAGGGGACUUGGGCUCUGGCCGUCUAGUGGGGAGGCGAGGCGGUUACAAAUGGCUCACAGGAGGGUAACGCGGCGCAGAUUGAGUUUAUAAAAUACAAGGCAAACACUGGAGCUAAAAUUUUAUUGUUGAUAAAAUAUUAACCUCCUUAUUACUUUCAUCGCACUUUCAAAUAAAGCACAGCAAAUUAGAAGCAGCCUCUGAAACAAAUCCAUGGGUGAUUAAAUCAGGGGAUGAGUUAGGAGAAGGGGAAAGUUGAGAAAGAGGAAGAUGGAGACUGGGGCGAGGGAGGGGAGGGAAGUGGCAGGCGUGGGGAGGCAGCCUGGGGUGGAAAUGGGAGAGGGGCCCUUCCUGGCCUGCCCCGGGAGAGAAGGCUGCAGCAACUCCCGGAGGAGUGGAAAGGCGAGCGGUGGGAAGUGCAGGAGAGAGAGAACUCUGCAGGAGGGAGCUCUGGGGAGUGCAGGGGCGUGAAACAAGGAAUCAGUCGGGAGCAAGACGUCUUCAGAAACG
Molecule: long non-coding RNA, 2151 nt
Filed under: Homo sapiens (human)
Lineage: Eukaryota; Metazoa; Chordata; Mammalia; Primates; Hominidae
Description: HSALNT0117783
Source: RNAcentral